GCUCUGUGCUCUCGGCGGACCGGCGCGGGGAGGGCGGCGGCGUACGGGAGGAGCCGAUCCCAACCAGGGUGCUAUAUGCAAAUUUUAGGGUUGUAAAUAUAAAUAAUCGCGAUCCGAAUUAGGGGGUUAUUUGAAAAUUGUAGGGCUCUACAUGAAAAAUAAUCUCGAUCCAGGGGGUGUCGUGGAAAUGUUACGAUCCAAUCCGGGGGCCGUUUCCCA
This 219-nucleotide long non-coding RNA is filed under the name Setaria italica (foxtail millet). Its description in RNAcentral is "long non-coding RNA (SITA_LNC007316)". The record is from RNAcentral. Lineage: Eukaryota; Viridiplantae; Streptophyta; Magnoliopsida; Poales; Poaceae.